Molecule: long non-coding RNA, 857 nt
Organism: Papaver somniferum (opium poppy)
Lineage: Eukaryota; Viridiplantae; Streptophyta; Magnoliopsida; Ranunculales; Papaveraceae
Exons: 5
Source: RefSeq, a predicted model, not a curated record
CAGGCAUGGUUGAUGCAUUCUGUAAAACAACUCGGAAUGAGGGACUUAGAGUAUUAUACCUGUUUGGUACUCGACUAUAAGGGAAAUUUGAUUUGAGAUGCAACUGAGCUGCUUGCCUGCUUCUUGAGUAGUAUAUUAUGCUGCUGGUGAGGAGAACCAACUCGAGCAAUGGGAAAGGAAUGAAGGAGUGUGAAUGUACAGCAAGAAGAGUUUUAGAUGCAAGUCCUUUGGUUUAUAUUGCUUAAAACAACUCAAAUCUCCAAGAUACUUUUAGGUGAGCUCCACUGAUGUGUUUGCUUGAAGCUGAAGGACCUUGAGCCAUUUAAAGUGAAGGAUGUAUGACUGAAAUUGCUGAAGGAUUUGGAUGUCCAACAACUUGGUGGAUUGGUUUAAAAAUAGGACACAAACGUAUAAUUGUUUCUUACCAUUUUAUUGUGAUUGUGACCAUGGUUGAAUCUCCGUGAACUAAAUUUUAUUCGUAGGUCCUUGUAUAUAUAUAUAGCUUUUUGGUGUGGUGCUGCUGCUCUAGCGUAAAAUAUGGGUGCUUCAGAAUUAUCUAAAUCUUGAACGGAGCAUUGGUGUAACUUAUCUCCAGCGAUGCAGUAACAGAAAGAUGGUAGGCCUUACUAUACUAAAUCAAUCAGGUAGUAAGAUUACGAGGAGAUUACAUGAAAUAACCAAACAGUUUGCAGAAGAGUUAGCAAGGGAUCGAGCUGCUAGAAAAAUGUUAGAACUUGAAUGAUCCAUGGUGUGAUAAUUCGUUGGUGGGAUUUCAGUUUCAUACUUAAAGUGCUGUUGUUAAGUCUGUCAUUAUCAAUAAUCAUUUUGUGCAGGUAUGUGAUAUAUUAUGCAGUAAG